UAUUUGUUUACUUUUAAGCAUAUAAUUUAUUUCUAAUCUUACAUAUCUGGUAUUGAUUCACUUGUUUUAUUGAAUAAAGCUUUUUUUCCCCUGCUGCCUUAGAAAGCAUUUAGUUCUUAUUAAGAAAGUCAUUUGCACUGUGAAGACCAAACAAAUUAUUUUCCUUCCCUUUGAUCCUAGAGACAAGAAAGCUUUACAUUAUCAUCAUGCUGUGUAGUUCACCAUUGACUUUACUUUGGCUUUGACAAAUGAUACCCAGAGCUGCUGUUCUGGAGUUCAUAUUCAGCCCUUAACAGUUAACCCAGUUUCUGUUCAGAACUUUUUUUUUCUUUCUAGCGUACAGAAUGCCGUUUCUCCUACAGCAUUGCUGUCUGGCUUUAGUUCCUGGUGAUUUUAUCUUCAAAAAAGUUUGUUGCUGAAGUGUGGAAUAGUUCCUUUUGUCCUAUAUUUCUUCAAAUUACAAGCUUUGAAAUUGCUGCUAGACAUUUUGGAUGUUUUUCUCUGGUGGGCAGUGUGGCCAUGUUGGCAGACCUGAAGAACUUUUACUGAUGUUGAAGGUAGCCCUUGUCAUCAUUUUUCUUCAUGUCACUCUGGUUACAUCCCUGGAAGGUAUGAUGAGGUCACUUCUGUUGGGUCCUGACUCUUUCCCUGGUA
This 654-nucleotide long non-coding RNA is filed under the name Capra hircus (goat). Its description in RNAcentral is "lncRNA (ENSCHIG00010026225.1)". Lineage: Eukaryota; Metazoa; Chordata; Mammalia; Artiodactyla; Bovidae. The record is from RNAcentral.